AAGAAUAAUACUAUGAAUUUCUUCAGAAGCGAGGGUUAGCUGAACAAAGUCAUUAGCGUGAGGUCUGCCACAUGUUUAAGUGCUCAAUAAAUUGAGCCAGCCCAAACUUGUCUCCUGAGUUCCAGACGUAUUCAGAUGCCCAUUUAUCCUACCAUCAAACCGUGGCUGAAUUCCUAAAAUAAUUCUCUUGUGACCUUUGGACAAUCUUCCUAAAGGUAAAAAUGGAGCGUCUGUGGGAAUGACGGCGGCACAUUCUUGCUGCGCGUGCUCUGAGAGCUGCUGUAUAGUUUAUGCGUGCGACACUGGCUGGGGAUGACCAGGUGGAAAUAACCCCUGCAUCUGAAAUGCUUGGAUCAAGUCAUUUUUACGGUUCGUGACUGCGGCUGCUUCCACUAUUCCUAAAAACCUCAAAAUCCUUGAGCGAUAGCCUGGAUGGAGAACCGUUCAGCUGUUUCUUGGCGUUAAAAAAUAGGAUGUAAUUCCUGAGGCUAUGCUUUGGGGAGGAGGGUGUUGCAAUAUAUUUUGGGAAGCUGAGCACUGACCAGUUUCACCUCUGUUUUAUUAGGUUUUAUGAUGAACUUUUUUACUUUCCAUAAAUUACUCUUCAUUCUUAAGGAAGUGUGUCUGCACUCUGAAAGACUUCUGAAAUGGCCUGGUUUUUAUUUUGUGUUUUCUGACCUAAAACAUGAUCAUCUAGGGUUUUGACUUUCGUGUCUUCACUUUCAUUUGAUCUGCUAGCAUAACUCCCAGCAUUUAGAAACUUUGGUUUUUAACCUAGGAUAUGAUGUUUCCUCCUGUGCAGCUCCCCAGUGCCUGUGGGUGAAUUUGGGAGCCCGUGGAUACCCAGAGAGCUUUUUCUCACCUCUUCAUGUUUGCUCCGGGACUCAGCAUCAGGGUUCCCUAACCCCCUCCUCUCCUGAAAUUCUGUUUCUGCCUUAAGAUCCAGUUUCAGACCAGGUCUGUCUGAAAGUCACCCCUUUUUUCCCCAGACAAGGAAAUCUGCUUCUGACGGCUGCCCUCCUUGAGCACUUGGUUCUAUUUUGUACUAUGAUUAACCGCCCAUGUGCCGUUCGACCCCCUUCUAUCCUAAUCCUCCUGGCUGGCAGAAGUGGGUCUCACCCAACCUUCUACCCCUUGCAGCCCGGUGCCUUCUGCAUAAAGGUUAGCAUUUACCGAGGAGUUACCAUGUGCCAGGCCUUCUGUCUGCCCACAGCCUACUGAAGUAGGGACUCUUAAAUUCUCCACUGUAUGGUUGAGGAAACUGAGGCUUGGAGAGGUUACGUACAUCACCCAAGGCUGUCCAGCUAGCAAAUGGCAGAACUGGUCUGUCAUUGCCAAUGAAUCUUCUGAUGGAUGAGAUCAGCUUAAGAUAGUUUUGUUUCUUUAGGAGGAAAUAUGGCUCCGGAGCCUGAGCUUUUAACCCCAGCUAUAAAUAUUAGUUGAGAUGGAGAGGAAAAAAUAGUCUUAUCUAGAAAAAAAUAUUUGCAUAUCAUUUUCCUUUUCAUUCCCUGUGGAAAAAAACAAAGCAAUGUUUUGUACACAGCUUUAAGGUUUUUUUCCCUGAGGAAACAGAGCAGGGAUGAAGUUAACUUAGUUGGGCUUCCAUCACCCAUCGUUAACUAUUCCUCCUCAUGGGUCAGUGGAAAAGUCAGUGCUGCACUAACGCUCUCCGUGUGCCUCAGAGUUUUUCAGACUUUUGCUGACUACUCCAGAGUCUAAGUGGUCGUUGAAUAAAAAGUUCCCACGGUUGAAAAGGAAGGGUGAGGGGGAGCCAAUAAUGACUAAGUUGCUUUCAACUGAUGGACCGAUGCACAGGUGGGAUUCUGAAAAUUCUGUCUCCAGGAAUGGCCACAAAAGCCAACUGAACGGGUGAUGGGAACAUUAGGCUGAGUCGGCAGGUGGGGUUUCGCCACCUCCAGCGCUCACGUCAUCUCUGUGAGAGAUGCUCACCUCAGUAUUUAAAUGGGAGAAAUGGCCUCCAAAGCUCCUCCAAGGAGAUUACACGAAAGAGGUUUUAAAAUGGGCGUUCUUUCAUUAUUGCUGUUAUUAUUAUUACCAGCGUAGCAUCUGAGCACUAAGUGCAAUAGCAUUUCCAUGGGAAACAAAGGUUUUGAAUUUAAAGAUGGGAUUCUAAGAGUCAGUCUCUGGCUGCCUUCUCCCUGCCCAUACUGUGUUGUAGAAGGAUCUGGAAGACCUGUGUUCCCACGGCUCUGUGUGUUGGCAGCAGGACUGAGGAUUUCGCCAGUUCCAAACCCUAUGGCUUGGAACCGGAAGAGGGGCAAGGUCCAAGAGGUGAGAGGUUCAGCUGGAGAAAGGGACGUCUGAACUCUCUGACACUAGUUUUUCCAAGUCAUGUUUUCCUCCCUUCAGCUCGAAGUUUGGACCCAUGAGCUUCUCUUCCUGCUGGUAACGUUCAGUACAGCUCUCCACUUCUCCCCUCUCCCUCGGCAGCAAAAACAGGUCCACAGCUCUGCACUGCCUGCCUUAGGGUUAAUUGUGGAAAUCAGAUGAAAUGCUCUGUAAACUUUACAAACGUUAAUUAUUGUUAUUCUGAACCAGAACCACCUCAGCAUGUUUGAGGGAUGGGUUUUACUCCUUAGGAGAGCUUUCCAGUCGAAUGAAGGCCUUCAUUUCUUAUGUAGAAACACGAAUUUCACCUGUUACUCAGUAACAUUUAGUAUCCACUUCACCAGCGUCUUACGUGUUUUAGCUAUCUAUCCGUUCCUCUUAAGAGCCCUGUGACAUCAGUGUUCUCUUUUUCUCCACUUUACACAUUCGAAAAAUUAAGUUUGGAAGACUGAGUCAUCCGCCCAAGGUCAUCUAUCUAUUUUAUGAAAAGCAGCGCGGGGAGUCAAAACUGACGCCAAGCCUCUGUGGUCAACCACAACAUACAAGAUUGCACACACAAUAAAUGCUUCACGUCCUUUCUCCUGUUCACGACUGUCUGUCUCUCUUUGCUGUACGUCCUUAGAGACAGAGUAGUUUAUCAAUCACGAAUCCUUAUUACAAAAUAACAGUUGUCCCGUUCGUUAAGGGGGGGUGGGGUGAAGGGGUUAGGAGGGUGAUUCCGCUGGGCAGUUAAGUGCCCAAGAAAGGACGAUCCUAAGAAAGGCUGCUCAGAAAUGUGAAGUUAAUGCUGAAAAUAAAAUGGGAAAACUGGAAAAGUACUUACUCACUGAGGUAACUGGUGAUUAAAAAGCGUACCUCUCAGGUGACUCUAGGUCUCGUCCCUCGACACACUCCUUUGUUGGCUGUCGAUCCGAGGGCCGGGUUGGCGAGCCCCGGGCCUCGGCUGCCGGGCAGAUGAGUUCACGUCUGGGUGCUGCUGGGUUCCUGAGCCCGCGACCGGGGAGAAGAUGCCAUUUCCGGUGGUACGGGAGGCAAAUGACACGAGUCAGCAUUUACUUCUUUGUAUUAGGAAGCGGAAGACUUAAUGACCAAAGCUUGAAGACUCGACCCAUGUGACAUCACCAAGUGGCAAAUGGUGGAACCGAGGCCGGGAGCGAGCCUCAACGACUGUCACCUGGAAGGAGUGCUCAGGGCCUGGACAAACUUAAGACUGCCAUGUGUCCUCUUCACUGCCCUCUUGGUGGGAGGCCAGACAGGGCUCACUGCCGUUGUUAUUUUGCCUAUUUGCGGAAGGUACUUAAUGCAUACGGCACAGAACUUCAAAAGGUACAGGUGGUAUAAGUGAGAAGUCCCUCUCCCUUUCUUGUUUCCUCAUCCCUCAUUUGUCCUGCCAGAGGUGAUAUGGUCAUGGGCUUCUUGUCUAUUCUAUCAGAAGUAUUCCAUACAGAUAACUUAUAUCUCUCUGAAAUAUUUUGUUCUCUCCUCCUUUCUUCUUGAAGACUCAACUUCCCUUUUUAUUUAAGGCAGAAGUCUGGAAAGAAGAAUACAACACCACUUAGAUCAGAUGUUAACUUGCGGAAGGUCUUUGGGAAAUGGAUCUUUCAGAUUGUUCCGAAUAUUCUGUUCCAAUGUUUGAAAUGGUACAGAAAACACACGACUCACAACAGCCUGUAAAAGGAGUCCCUAUUGUGUGGCAUUUAUAACUGACCCAGGCCCUCAUACCCUGUCUGGCUGGGGACCACUUAAACUUUGAUAUCAAUAUAUCUCCAUAUCUCAAUAUGGUGACUGUUUGUCUAUUGAUGGUGUGAAUUGAAGCCAGAGCUAUGACGCUGUGAAUAAAAUAGCUCUGGGACCCCACAGACUUGGGUUUGAUAACUAAUUUUGUCAUUUAUGGCUGCAUGAUGUUGGUAAUCGCUGAACUCCUUGUGGCAAAAUAAUGACAGUAACAGUCGCUACGUAGAUGCAAGGGUUAAAUGAGAAAACAGAUCCAGAGGACCAGGUUACAUGGUAGUGUAUAAUAAAAUAUGUCCACAUCACUCACCGUGGCCCAUCCACUAGUUCUUUCCCCCAUUUAAUAAAUAAUUGUGGCAGAUACGUUCUAGGUGCUAGAAAUACAGCUGUGAUUAACACAUUAAAAGAAAAAAAAAAGCCUUGCCCCAUGGAGUUGACAUUUGGGUUGAGGGAGUCAGACAACUAAAAAUAAAUAAAUACAUACGUAAAUACGUAGAAUAGUAUGUUAGGUCGAAGAGGAGCACGAUUGUUGGCUGAGGAGGAUGCAGGAGCUGUGGAUCAGAAUUUUAAAUGGGGUAGUGACAGGGUUUGAGACCCGCUACCCCAGAAUAUGGCACCGCAGCAUGCUGAAUAUUUUAAGCCAAAGGGACUUGAGAAACGGCAGGUGCUGGAAGGACUCUGGGGCCUGCCCUGAAGCACGUCACAAGGCCCUCUUGUGAGAGGUGCCCUCCCCUUACCUGGAAGAAAGUAGCAUCCUUAUCUCCAAAGACACCAGGACUCAGAGGAAUCUAAGCAAACAGGCUUUGAGACCCAGCUGAGAACCUGGAAGCGUAGAAGGGACAAAUCAUGGUCUGGAAAAGGUCUCCCAGAAAAGAUGACAUUUAAGCAAAGCCAGAGGGAGGUGGUGGAAGGACCAUAUAGAAAUCUGGGGGAAGGAAGCUCCAAGCAGAAAGAACAAUAAAGAGGAACACUGUUAUUUUUCUUAUCUUCUUGGAACUGAGUGCUUCAAGCAGGCCCGAAAUCAACCUACGAAAUAUGUACUUAGAAUACACUUAUUUCAGCAAACUGCUGUGUGUCUGUGUUCAACUCUAUGAGUGGCUACCUUAAAAAAGGACCAGGUUUGGCAAAUCA
This is a long non-coding RNA of Ailuropoda melanoleuca (giant panda), 5211 nucleotides long. RefSeq lists it as uncharacterized. NCBI's taxonomy places the organism in Eukaryota, Metazoa, Chordata, Mammalia, Carnivora, Ursidae. The record is from RefSeq and is a predicted model, not a curated record. The transcript is spliced from 5 exons.